Molecule: long non-coding RNA, 489 nt
Organism: Phyllostomus hastatus (greater spear-nosed bat)
Lineage: Eukaryota; Metazoa; Chordata; Mammalia; Chiroptera; Phyllostomidae
Exons: 3
Source: RefSeq, a predicted model, not a curated record
UCCAGGAGGAACUGGGCGACUUUCCCGCCACCACCGUCUCACACCCGUAUUGCCCCGAGCUCCGUACCACACCCCCUUAGCGCAGGGCUGGUGUGUGUAAACCCAGUAGCAAUAGGUAACCAGAAUGCCUGCACAUACAAUGACAGCAACGUGCGAACACGGAUGUAUCCUGGAAGUGUAAACAAGCACAGAGCAAUAACAAACGCUGACUUCAGGACUGUGAUGACCACCUGUUGGAUGUGUGGCCAUGGACAUGCCCAAGCAUCCAUUGGUGACCACCGUAAACUGGACUGUCGGCCGUGCAGCUCCUAUCAGGAGCAGAUCCAAGAUCUGUGGGGCCUAAAGCAUCUGCAAGUCGGGGGAACUUCUUUAAGAAAGCAAAGUAAAUGUGAAAGUAAAUGUUUAUUUAGAGUGACAAAAGAAAUCCCAAGAAAUCCCAAAUUUUAUAAAGUUAACACCACAAACAUACAGAAAAUUUGUAUUUUUAUU